CCAUUAGCUUGUCGGUAGGGUAAUGGCCUACCAAGGCUACGAUGGUUAGCUGGUCUGAGAGGAUGAUCAGCCACACUGGAACUGAAACACGGUCCAGACUCCUACGGGAGGCAGCAGUGAGGAAUUUUGCGCAAUGGGGGAAACCCUGACGCAGCAACGCCGCGUGAGUGAAGAAGGCUUUCGGGUCGUAAAGCUCUGUCAAGUGGGAAAAAAAUCUCAUGAUGAAUAGUCAUGAGGCUUGAUGGUACCACUGGAGGAAGCACCGGCUAACUCCAUGCCAGCAGCCGCGGUAAUACGGAGGGUGCAAGCGUUGAUCGGAAUAAUUGGGCGUAAAGAGCGUGUAGGCGGUAUGGUAAGUCAGAUGUGAAAGCCCUGGGCUCAACCCAGGAAGUGCAUUUGAUACUGCCAUUCUUGAGUAUGGGAGAGGAGAGUGGAAUUCCUAGUGUAGAGGUGAAAUUCGUAGAUAUUAGGAGGAACACCCGUGGCGAAGGCGGCUCUCUGACCAAUACUGACGCUGAGACGCGAAAGCGUGGGGAGCAAACAGGAUUAGAUACCCUGGUAGUCCACGCCGUAAACGAUGAGAACUAGGUGUAGCGGGUAUUGACCCCUGCUGUGCCGAAGUUAACGCAUUAAGUUCUCCGCCUGGGGAGUACGGCCGCAAGGCUAAAACUCAAAGGAAUUGACGGGGACCCGCACAAGCGGUGGAGCAUGUGGUUUAAUUCGACGCAACGCGAAGAACCUUACCUGGAUUUGACAUCCUCUGACAACCCUAGAAAUAGGGCCUUUCCGACUUGUCGGAACAGAGUGACAGGUGCUGCAUGGCUGUCGUCAGCUCGUGUCGUGAGAUGUUGGGUUAAGUCCCGCAACGGGCGCAACCCUUGUUUUUAGUUGCCAGUAUUAAGUUAGGCACUCUAAAGAUACUGCCUCGGUUAACGGGGAGGAAGGUGGGGAUGACGUCAAGUCCUCAUGGCCUUUAUAUCCAGGGCUACACACGUGCUACAAUGGACUGUACAAAGGGUCGCGACACCGCGAGGUGAAGCUAAUCUCAAAAAGCAGUUCUCAGUUCGGAUUGGAGUCUGCAACUCGACUCCAUGAAGGUGGAAUCGCUAGUAAUCGUGGAUCAGCAUGCCACGGUGAAUACGUUCCCGGGUCUUGUACACACCGCCCGUCACACCACGAAAGUCGGCUGUACCAGAAGUUGCUGGGCUAACCCUUCGGGGAGGCAGGUACCUAAGGUACGGUCGGUAAUUGGGGUGAAGUCGUAACAAGGUA
Molecule: ribosomal RNA, 1272 nt
Filed under: metagenome
Description: bacterial SSU rRNA
Rfam family: Bacterial small subunit ribosomal RNA
Source: RNAcentral